Molecule: non-coding RNA, 535 nt
Organism: Pelodiscus sinensis (Chinese soft-shelled turtle)
Lineage: Eukaryota; Metazoa; Chordata; Testudines; Trionychidae
Source: the annotation of a RefSeq genome assembly
AUGGCCUGGGCCCCCCUGCUCCUCACCCUGCUCACCUACUGCUCGGGUUCUCUGGCCCAGUACGUGCUGACUCAGCCGCCCUCAGUGUCUGUGUCUCCAGGGCAAAACGCUCAACUCACCUGCUCAGGGAACAACAUUGGUAGCAAGGCUGUGCACUGGUACCAACAGAAACCUGGCAGUGCCCCCCUACUCGUGAUAUAUAGUGAUAGCAACAGACCCUCCGGAAUCCCUGAUCGAUUCUCUGGUGCCAACUCCGGGAACACGGCCACGUUAACCAUCACUGGGGUCCAGGCGCAGGACGAGGCUGAUUAUUACUGUCAGGUGUGGGACAGCAACACUCCUCACAGUGACCCAGCCCGAUGUGGAAGUGAUGAUUUGUUGGGAAUUGUGGAUGAUGAGCAGGAAAGAGCUUCUAGUGGACAUCUGGCAUUUCUCACAGAGCUGAGGACUCAGAUGUUCUCACUGCCUGACUCUCCUGGGAACACUGUAAAACCCUCCUGCACUGUGAAUACUGGGACGAGCUUCAAAGACCACA